This 1229-nucleotide ribosomal RNA is filed under the name Spumella-like flagellate JBNZ39. RNAcentral describes it as "bacterial LSU rRNA". It matches the Rfam family "Bacterial large subunit ribosomal RNA", at positions 1667 to 2889 of the family's 2925-position model. Lineage: Eukaryota; Chrysophyceae. The record is from RNAcentral.
GCGAGAUGAGUAUUCUAAGGCGCUUGAGAGAACUCAGGAGAAGGAACUCGGCAAAUUGAUACCGUAACUUCGGGAGAAGGUAUGCCCCAAGUAGGUGAACUCGUACAGAGGGAGCCCAAAGGGGUUGCAAAAAAUCGGUGGCUGCGACUGUUUAAUAAAAACACAGCACUCUGCAAACACGAAAGUGGACGUAUAGGGUGUGACGCCUGCCCGGUGCUGGAAGAUUAAAUGAUGGGGUGCAAGCUCUUGAUUGAAGUCCCAGUAAACGGCGGCCGUAACUAUAACGGUCCUAAGGUAGCGAAAUUCCUUGUCGGGUAAGUUCCGACCUGCACGAAUGGCGUAACGAUGGCGGCGCUGUCUCCACCCGAGACUCAGUGAAAUUGAAAUCGCUGUGAAGAUGCAGUGUAUCCGCGGCUAGACGGAAAGACCCCGUGAACCUUUACUAUAGCUUUGCACUGGACUUUGAAUUUGCUUGUGUAGGAUAGGUGGGAGGCUUUGAAGCGGGGACGCCAGUUCUCGUGGAGCCAACCUUGAAAUACCACCCUGGUUUGUUUGAGGUUCUAACCUUGGUCCGUAAUCCGGAUCGGGGACAGUGCAUGGUAGGCAGUUUGACUGGGGCGGUCUCCUCCUAAAGAGUAACGGAGGAGCACGAAGGUUGGCUAAGUACGGUCGGACAUCGUACGGUUAGUGCAAAGGCAGAAGCCAGCUUAACUGCGAGACAGACACGUCGAGCAGGUACGAAAGUAGGUCUUAGUGAUCCGGUGGUUCUGUAUGGAAGGGCCAUCGCUCAACGGAUAAAAGGUACUCUGGGGAUAACAGGCUGAUUCCUCCCAAGAGUUCAUAUCGACGGGGGAGUUUGGCACCUCGAUGUCGGCUCAUCACAUCCUGGGGCUGUAGCCGGUCCCAAGGGUAUGGCUGUUCGCCAUUUAAAGUGGUACGUGAGCUGGGUUUAAAACGUCGUGAGACAGUUUGGUCCCUAUCUUCCGUGGGCGCUGCAGAUUUGAGGAAGCCUGCUCCUAGUACGAGAGGACCGGAGUGGACACACCUCUGGUGUAUCGGUUGUCACGCCAGUGGCAUUGCCGAGUAGCUAAGUGUGGAAGAGAUAACCGCUGAAAGCAUCUAAGCGGGAAACUCGUUUCAAGAUGAGAUCUGCCGGGGCCUUGAGCCCCCUAAAGAGUCGUUCAAGACCAGGACGUUGAUAGGUCAGGUGUGGAAGCGAAAAAAAAAAA